This is an unclassified non-coding RNA of Panthera pardus (leopard), 331 nucleotides long. Its record names the gene 7SK. It matches the Rfam family "7SK RNA". From Rfam's summary of the family: 7SK was discovered as an abundant small nuclear RNA in the mid-70s but a possible function has only recently been suggested. Two independent studies have found that 7SK RNA binds the CDK9/cyclin T complex (known as elongation factor P-TEFb). P-TEFb activates transcription by phosphorylating the C-terminal domain of RNA polymerase II. NCBI's taxonomy places the organism in Eukaryota, Metazoa, Chordata, Mammalia, Carnivora, Felidae. The record is from Ensembl.
GGAUGUGAGGGAGAUCUGGCUACGACAUCUGUCACCCCAUUGAUCACCAGUGUUGAUUCGGCUGAUCUGGCAGGCUAGGCAGGUGUCUCCUUCCUCCCUUACCGCUCCAUGUGCAUCCCUCCCAAAGCUGCGAGCUUGGUUGGAGAGGAUGACCUUCCCUGAUAGAGGAGGACCAUUCUUCAGUCAAGAGUGCGUGAGCAGCUGCACUCCCCUGCUAGAACCUCCAAACAAACUAUCAAGGUCCAUUUGUAGGAGAAUAUAGGGUAGUCAAGCUUCCAAAGCUCCAGACACAUCCAAAGGAGGCGCUGAAUGUGGCAGUCUGCCUUUCUUU